AGUACUUUCCAGGUGAAAAGGAUGUCUCGAUAAUUCCAUCUGCAUUAAUGAGAGCUUGUCGCGCCAAAGCAUUGAUUUCCAUUGUGUAUCGAAAAUAAGGAUGUAACAGUCUGUAAAUUGGGUGCAGCUCACUGAGCUGUCUGUUGGUUGCAAUUAUAUAAGGCUCUGUUGCACAAUGAGUUCUUAGCCUGCAAAAUAAAAAUACUACACAUUACCCCCUGUGUCACUGCUUGUACUUUCUAUACACACCGAACAUUAUAAUGUUAGUUUACAAAUUAGCAAAAAAGAAACUAUAGUUUGCAGAAAUUUGGACCUAGGACAGCCAAAAUUUUCUGAUAAAAUAGUACUGAGGCGUGAAUAUUUUCCGUUCAGAGGAAAAUACAUUUUUCAAAAGAUUUAUCAGAGAUGUCAUGUACCAUAUGAGAUUUAUAUAUAUAUAUAAGUGCCUAUAUAUAUAUAUGUAUGUAUGUAUUACAAUACAUUUGCAAGAUCAUGAAACUGUCUGUGCCUUUGUUGGCCAGCCUAAUGUUUAGUUUCUGUAAGUGUGGAACAUUGAAAUAUAUGUAAUGGAAAAAACCUUCAUAGUUUAAUGUGUAUAAGCUGAUAGCUGAAUGUUAUGGCCCUGUUUGACAAUUAGAGAUUAGCGGAUUGAGUCAACUGUUUUUACUAAUUGAUUGAAGUAGCUAUUUUGACUAGCGGAUUGAAUUAACUAUUUUGUAUGAAAUUAUUUGAUAAAUAGGUUUUUAAUUAGUUUUUUGUAUUUUAAGUGGAGAGAUAGCAAACCUCUAACCGAAAAAGCUCCUCCAAGUCGUUUUUUUCGAAAUUAGCUUUUUAAAUCCAAUCCGCUACUUCACUUCACUAACUAUCAAACACCAAUAUGCAAUGUUUUAAAAUAAGCAGAGAUUUUGGUGAAUAUACCAGUGACUAACAAGCUGAUGAAAACCAGAGUCAUGUGCCAAGAAAUGAGCUUUAGCAAGCUUCCAAAGCCAAACACUUGUCGCAUCAAACCCCGGAGAAUAUGCUUCCUUCCACUGAGGUUUCCCAUCCAUCGGAGGUCGGGCAAGCUCAAUGGCUACUGGCUUCAAUGUGCCAAUAGGAGUUAAAAAAAACAAGGCCCUUGAUCCAUAUAGAGUUGUCCCUUUUAUCUGCCUCACUUUCUUCACAUAUGGUAGUAGCAAAUCAUGGUAAUCUAUCAUGAAAAGUUUCUUCUGCUUUAUGGCCUGCAUUGAUAUGUAUGAUUAUCAAACAUAAGCUGAUUCACAAUUUCACAUAGUAUUAUAGCAAGUCUAUUGGUUGUGGACACCAGAACACGACAGUGACUGUUUUAAGACUCAUGAGUACCUCGUCAACUGUCAUGAAUCCUCUGAUUACUUCCUCCACACAUUUUGUGGAGAUUACUGAUUCAGGAGGUCCAUACUCCUUAGGGUCAAGCUCACUUUUCAACGGCCAUUCCUGCAUAUUAUUCAUGUACCAAUAUAUAUGUUCAGACUUCACAUAUACCUAAGAAUGUUUAUAGAGGACUAGAACAAAUUUAUGUAUCUAGGACAUACAUAAUAAAGAUACUUAUGGUAUGUGGAUGACAUACUUUAACUAACUGUAAGCAACAAGGGUUCAGGCCAGCAAGGGUCUGACGACCAAAUUCCUCAUCCUUCAUCCACUUAAAUUUAUCACCUGAUAAUAAGUACACGAUAAAAAAUAUGGGAUCAGACAAUGAACCCCAUGUACAUUUAUACUUCUUUGGAGGUUGAAGGAUAGAUCAGAAAGUUGUUCUUACGGUCAAGAAAUUCAGGAGUCUCAAAUAGGAUGAUGUUUUUUCCUUGAUCAGUGACCGUUUUGAGGAGACGAGGUAGAAGAUUCGUUAGAGUUGCUUUAGGAACCUCAGGCAGAUCAACGCCCUCAUUGAAUAGAGUAUCAAUGGCGGUGAAAUAUGGAAAUCCAAAUUCUGAGUCGAUGGACACAUUUUCUAGUGAAGGUAGGACAGCAUGAAUCACCGAGUAGACUGUCUUGGCUGAGAAUGUUAGGGACUUGACCUCUGAAAAUUCUUCAUCCCUGGGCACAUAAAUACUGCUUCCCCUCGACUCUGACAAGGGAUCUGUACAUAUAUAGAGCCCGUUUGGCUGAGUUUAUGAUUUAUGAUUUAACAUGACUUUUAACGUGACUUAUGUGAUAAGCUGGAGCGUAAAAUGUCUGUUUGGGUAAUUUUGACCUAUGGAUUUUUAAAAAUAUAAUUACAAAAAUAAAAGUGAUUUAUAAAUAACUUAUGGGUAAUUUUUAUCAAAAAAAAGUUCAAAAAAUGAAAUCACUGAAAAAAAUACCUCAAACUAACUUCUGGCUUUAAGUCAAUUUCUGACUCUAAACCGACUUGUAACUUUUUACACAAACAUACAUUUUUAAGCUUAAAGUCAGAUGUCCGGGCUUCAAGCGAAGCCCGGACAAACAGGCUUAUAUCAUAUCAGAUUACUACUUACAAUAUACAACAUUUGGCACAACAUAGUAUAUAGUAGUAUCCCACAUUCUCUAUUUCUCUGCAUCUUGAAGCUGUAAAUUCUAUGCAUUCAGAUGAAGUAGAUGGCAAACACUACAACGGAAGACAUGAAUGCAUUUGUAAUAAAAUAAAAGUUUAAAGCCGUUUAAAAUUUGAUAUCCAUAGAAAUAAUAUUAAGGUUGGUGUUACUACCUUUCUUAGAGCGGGGACGCCCGGUUCUGCAACGCCUAGGAUAGGGAUGUUCCUUGCCGCCGAGAACAGGCCUUGCGAGUUUUGCAUCUUUGUCGGGAUCACCGAGAUCAUUAUAAACAUCGUAAUCGUAGAUUCUGUCCUUGCUUUUUCUUUCUCCAGUGCCGUCUCCUCUCUUUUUCAUCAGCUCAUGUUCUCUGUACCGUUUCAGUCCCUCGGGUGUCUCCGAUGGUAGAUAUGACUGGUCGUAAAAUAAUUGUUAAUUUUUGAUGAUUUCUUAAAUAAUAAUUAAUAAAAUGAGGCGUGAAUUAAUAGAUUGGAAAAUACGGGAAUUGUAAUGGUAAUUUUUAUGCUUAAUUGUUUAUUCACAUUUUAUAUUAUUUUAUAUAUUAUAUAAAUGAGAGGAAAUUUGAAAGGAAAUUAAUAUUAUAUUCAUAAUAAAAAUUAAGGUAUUUUAGAUGUUUAAAGAGUGAUCAUAGUCAAGUACAUCAAAUGCGCGCAUUGUAGACGGCAGCCUGAGAGUAGGUUUGUUAAAAAGCGGUGAUUGAGGGAAACUGCAGGUCAAAAGCAGUUUGUUUCUGCUCCCUCCGUCCCAGUGAAUUGUAUACAGUUUCCUUUUUAGGACGUCCCGUCAAUUGUAUACAUUUCGAAAAUAGUAAACUUUUAUAAUAUAAAAUAUCAUUACACCAACUACAUUCCUCCACUAUCUUCAUUCUAUAAUAAUAUAAACACUAUUACACCCACUACUUUCCUCCACCAUCUCAAAUCUAUUAUUAAAUAUAAAUGGGUCCCACCACUAUACCCACUUUUCAUCUAACUUUACUCAUUUCUUACACAAUUUCUUGGUCUCCGUGUCCCAGCCAUUUCAUUUGUAUACAAAUGACUGGGACGGAGGGAGUAACAUUUUUGUAAGUCAAACUGCUGAUUUAAUUAAUAAUUUCAAACUUUUUAAUAAUUAUUUUUAUUUUUAAAUUUGAAUAUCAAACAUAUAGAGAUUCAUUUUAAAAGAUAAUUUGUUAUUCAUAUUAAUAAUUUUUAUAUCCAAUGAAUUGAGAACACCAAAACUUUUAUUCAAAAAUAUAGAAUAAAAAUUACUCCCUCUAUCCCUCUCAUUUCUUUACAGUUACUAUUUUGGGAUGUCCAUCUCAUUUCUUUAUGUUACUAUAAAUAGAGUAUCUAUUACACCCACUACUUUCCUCCACUAUCUCAAAUCUAUUAUUAAAUAUUGAUGGGUCCCACCACUUUACCCACUUUUCAUCUAACUUUACUCAUUUUUCAUACAUUGUCUUGGUCUCCGUGUCCUCCUCCAAUGUAAACAAUUGAGGGGGACGGAGGGAGUAUUGAUCAGUUACAAUAAAUUCUCAUUUACAAGUAAUAAAUACUUCUUUUAAAUCAGGUCAAAUGCUACAAAAUAAUAUCCAUAUGCGAAAAUAGUUUGAAUAUGAGGGAAUAAAUAGCACUCUCUGUGUUUUAAUUAUUUGACGUUUUAAGUUUUGGUACAUACUUUUAAGAAUUUUGACCCAGUAGUUAAAAAUAUUAUUUUUAAUUGAUUUUUUUGUGAAUUAAAAUUUUGAUUAUAUAUUUUUAUUCUGAAAAAGAAUAUUUCAAAACAUAAUAUUUCAGAUUAUUUUUAAAAGUGGUUGUCAAUUGAGGUGAGCCUCAUAUAUUUACUGUGCUACACAUAAUGGACCCCAGGCAGGCCGGAGGAGUACAUACGACAGAACAUAGUGAACAUCAUCGUACAAUUUGAUUAUGAUCAGUCCGGGAGAGCUCGUGAUAUGGCUUUAGUUUGUUUCACAACCUAGGUUUUGUAUGGUCUAUAAAAUUUGAAAACAAAUGUUAUUAAAAGAAUAUGCAAAUAAUGACAAUUCAAGAUUUGACAUUUAUGUAAGUUAGUUGCAGGCAUCUAUUAAAAUCCAGUGUUCUAAAAAUCCCCGAUUUAGCCGAUAAAUCCCCGAUUAAUCCUCUGCAAGGUCAGCCAUCGAUCCGAUUUUUAAAAUCCGAUUAAUCCUUAUAUAUAUUUCAUAAUCGAAGUAUAUGUGAUAAAUUAUUAAAAUUAAAAUACUAUAUUACUUUAAAUAUGAAUAAUUAUAGUGUUUAAGAAUAUAGUAAAUAUAUUAGUUACUAAAUAGCUGAUAUAAUAAUAACUAAAUAUUAAAUAAUAUUUUAAUAUUAAAAUAAACCCGAUUUUAACUCCGAUUAAUCCUUCCUAUUAAUCCCCGAUUUCCGAUUAAUACUUGAAUCGGUAGCUCAACCGAUUAGGUCCGAUUCCCGAUUUCUGUAACACUGUUAAAAUCACAUACUAUAUAAUUAUAAAAUAAAUUACGCGAAUAAAAACUAAAAAUACAAUACUAACCUUGUUAGUAAAGAAAAAUCUAUUGUCCGAAUUAUUGCGGUGGGAAUGAACCCAGGACUGACAGUUGACAAGGAUGCUGCCAUUAGGGAAGCCAUCAAGCUGAAUGGUCUUGAAGAACAUCUCAUUGUGAUGUUCAUUCUCUACUUUCACACCUCCGAUCUCUCCGAAAUCGUCGGGGACAUGAAAUUUGCACUCGUAUUUCACGUCAUCUGCAUCCACAUUUCCUGCCCUGUGUGCAUACCCCUUGAUCGUCUCCUUCUCUAAUCCCGUUGCUGAUAUCAUAAUCAAUUACAGCUAGCUAGCUAGGGUUAACUUAGAGCAAGCAGGGCCGGCGCUCUUUGAAGGCCAUUUAGGCGAUCGCCUAAGGCCCCCGUGGGUGAGAGGCCCCAUAAUUUAUCUUAGUAUGUAAUUAUGUAUAUGCAAGAAAAAAAUAAUUUCAUAAUAUUAUAAAAAAUUAAAAUUUAUAUUUAAAUCUUGUAGAAAAAAAAUUAUGUGAUCAAUUUUUAUCAAAAAAUAAUUAAAAUACUAAUAUUAGUAGUAUUAAUCAUGUUUUGUUUCCUGUACUAACUUAAUAAAUACUUGACUUGAAUCUAAAAUCUAAAAAUAUGUAAAUUAUUGUUUUAUGUGAUGUAAUCUAAUUAUAGGUGUUAAAAAAAUUAGAGAUUUUAUUUCAUUUCACUUCGGUUUAUUUACCUUUUAAAUUUUGAUUUUAAUGACAUAAUUAUAUUCAUUAUUAGAAAUUAUCUAAAUAUUUAAUAAAAUUAUCUCCAAAAGUUAUUUUUUUAAUUUAUACAUCUUAUUUAUUAAUUUCAAAAAACCUUAAUAUUUAUUUAACAACUAACAUCAAAACCCUAGAAUUAAAUUUUGAAUAUUAAAAUAUAAUAAUUAAAUACAAAUUUUUAUUUUGAAAUGGAAUCCUAAAUAAAUUAUAUAAAUUAUAAAUACUAUAUAAUCAAUUUAGUUUUAAUAUAUAUAGUAUUUAAUUGUGUUUGCAUCUGAUUUCAAUAUAAUUAUAUAUAUUUAUUUAGAAUAAUUUAUUUAUUUUAUUAAUGCCUAAUUCUAAUAUAUUAUCUAAAUCAUUUUUAUAUUAAAAUUAUAAAUAAAAAUAUUAAUUUUAUAUACUAAGAGACAUAAUCAAUAAACUUAAUAGUAUAAAAUAUUAUAUAUUAUAAUGUGUUGAGGGUGAUUUUAUGUUUGUAAUAUUUAAAUAUCGCAAAAUUUUGUAUUUAUAUUAUUAAUAAAAUAUUAGAUUUUUUUUUAAAAAAUAGGCCUCACUUUAAUGAUUGGCCUAAGGUCCCAAAAUCUCUUGAGCCGGCCCUGAGAGCAAGGAUGACAUAAAUUUUGAUUUAUAUAAAAUAUAUAUGUGCAUGCAUGCUAGUACUUACAAGGAUCAAGUUGAGCAGCCACGAGUUCCAACUGAAUAGAUUUACCAAACAAAUCACUUAUAUCAUCCAGCGGAUUCCACCCCAAAUUUGACAAGAAUCCACUCACUGUGAAUUGCACCACCACCGUGGCCAACACUUCCGUCGUCGUUUCGGUAUAAUUAGCCACAGAUUUUAUGCUACUACUGCUUCUUGCAGCAUGACGAAGCUUGUUUUUAUUACCAGUACGGCUUGAUCUAGCCCUUUUGAUGUUCGAAAACGCAGGUUUAGCACCUAAGUUUCCGGAGAAGAAGGGCUUGUGGCAUUGCAGUAGGGUUUUUGAUGAGGACAAGUUGUGAAUUUGAGGCUUUAACAUUGUACGUUUAUAUCAACUGGAAGUUUGUUGCUAAUUGUGGUUUUGAUGAAUUAGUGAAGCGCGCUUGAUCUUAUUUAUAGGCAGAAAGUUCGAAGAGGUUUUUUGUUUUGAGCAAAGAAUAUUCAAAGAUGCAUGCAUGCAUGUGAGUACUAUGAUAAGACAAUAAUUUUUAUUGACUUUUGUCUUUUGAAGUACUAUUCAAAAAAGAACAGUAGUAUUUUUUUUUUUGAAAAUAGAACAGUAGUAUUUUUUAAUUUCUAUUUGCGAGAAAGAAAGGUAGUGUAUAUAUAUGUGAUUCUAAAUUUAAUUUAAUUUAAAUUAAUGAUGACCGUACACGUUGUAAAUUUCAGUUGAUCACGGCCUAGGGUUAAAACAUAACGGAGAUAGUCUAUUUAAAAUACAUUAAUCGAAAUAGGCGUCUUAUUUUUAAACAAACACAUUUUUAAUAUAAAUGAUAUAUAAUUUAUAUUAUAUUAUUAAUGUUGAAACAUGAAAAAUUUAAGCAAACAUAAAAACGCUCAUUCAUUAGAAAUGAUAUAAACUUGAAUACUGUAAAAGGCGAAAUAUUACCACUUUGAUUGUUUAUAUUUUUAUUAUUAGUAUUUAUGUUAACAAUAAUUAUUUAUUAAUCCAUUGAACUAUAUCAUAUAAUUAUGAUUAAACAUAUUUAUAUAAAUUUUGGACAUAUACCAUAUUAUAGUUAUAUAUAUAAUGUUGAAUAUUAAUUCACAUGUUCCAAAAUUUAUUUAUUACUCCCUCCGUCCCCUUUUACUUGUCCCUUUUGAAAAAAUAACGCAUCUUAAGAAAAUGUUAGGUGGAUAUCUUGUUUUCAUACAUAUCCCUAAUAAAUGUGAUGAAUUAGAUAGAGUUGUGUAUAUAUAUAUAUAUGCUAGUCAAACAUUGGAAUUUGUUACAUUUUGAAAAAACAUACAAAAAGUUGCUUCGAAAAGAGAAGUGGACAAGUAAUUUGAGACAAAAAAAAAUUUCAAAAGGGACAUGUAAAAAGGGACGGAGGGAGUAAUAUAUAGAUAAUGAUAUAUCAAUAAGAACCCGCACCAAAAUGCAAGUUAGUAUAAUCAACAAGCAAGCACCAGAAGCGCAGAGAAAACAAAAUGGUGGAAACUGGAGUGAAGGACCACUGGUAGGUAAAGUAUAUAGAGCUCACGGCAGAGCAGGCCGUGAAACACAUUUGAUAAGUAGUACUAAAAUUGGACGGGCAUAACACGUGUUCGGUGGAUGAUUUCAUCGUCGUACGUAGACGAGACCAACGUAAUCAAAGUAGUACUUCGACAAAUAUAAUCGUUGAUAGCAGGUUGUUUAAAAUUAUAGACAGAUGAUGAGUAUGAUUGAAGUGUGGUUUUUUCAAAAAAUUAAUUACACUUUUUAUUUUUAAUAUACUAAUUCAUUUUUUAACUAAAUAUUUUUUACUCUAUGAUCGUAGAUGCUUUAAGUUUCUAAUUCAUUCUCUAAAUUAAGUUAAGAACAAUUAUAUAGGAAAAUCUUCUGGGACUUGCCCCGUAAGUUCUAACAACAAACAAGGAACUCUAAACAUAUGCAUAUCAAUGGACCCGCAAAAUGAAGGAGACUGACCUGUUAAACCAGUUGAAGACCAAGUUGAAUUGUAAAAACUGGUGAGUUUUCUCAAUUUUGAGGCGCGUUUUCUUUUUCUUUUUGAGAAAAUAUAGCAGAAAUUUGAUUUUGAUAUUAAUUCUGAAUUAACGAGACUUGAACACAAAUACAAGAUAUUCUUUUAAAGUAUUCUGAAAUCAUAUUCAAAUAUAAAUGCCCUAUUGACAACUAACUCUUAGCAAAUUGGAUUAAUCGUUUUUACUCCCUCCGUCCCACUGAGUAGUAUACAUUGGGGGACGGGGACACGACACGGAUUUUAAUGCUCCUGUAAAGUGUAGUUGUAUAAUUUAUUUUUAAAAUUUUCUUUUUCGGAAUUAAAGUUUGUAUGUUAUAUUUUUAUACAGAAAAAGAAAAUCUCAAAAAUAAAUUACGGAACUAUAUUUUAUAAGAGUAUUGAAAUGCGUGUCGAGCAGUUAAAAAGAAACGUAUACAAUUAAAUGGGACAGAGGGAGUACUAUUUACAAUUAAAUGGGACAGAGGGAGUACUAUUUAGCUGAAGUAACUAUUUUGACUAAUGUAUUCAUAUUGAAUUAGCUGUUAAUUUGGUAAAAAAACUAUUUAAUUAAUUUUUCGUAUUUUAUUUAAACAUAUAUAAUUUUUUCAGAUUUAGUUUUUUUUAAUCCAAACCACUGUCUUAAUCCACUAAUUACCAAUCAAUAUUAAAUGAUUUAUAUAAUCAAAUCUUAAUUAUAUCGGAAAAGAAAAUGAAAAAUCUGUUAAUAACAUAUUUCACCCUGUUUGCAUUAUUCGGGACCUAACAAGAAGCAGUGGACAUAUUUUAGGAAGGAACAAAGGCUCUUUCGAAUCAAAUCCUUUAUUAUGUACUACAACGUGGAGGGAUGCACAUUUUCCUACAAGAUGUAGGAGUUGAAUUGCAGAUUUGUAUUAUCAUGAAAAUGCAGAUCCUAUUAUAGUUUAGUGCUCGUUUGGUUGCCUCUCCAAUACUCAGGAAUUUCAAUUUCCUAAGAAGUAACUAUAGAUGAAGUUGUUUGGUUGAUAAAAGUAAAGGAAGAGCAACUUCCAUGGAAGUAUGAAUUUGUAGGAAGUUAUUAACCCACCACACCCUUGGUCAUUGGAAGUUCCCAUGAUUUUAAAUUCCACUGUAACAACCAAAUAAUUUUUUUCACUUCCUAUAUAUUUUAAUUACCAGGAAAUUACUACUUCCCAUAGGAAGUUAAUUCCCGGAUGCAACCAAACAAGCACUUAUUUUGGAGCACGUUUAGGCGAGCUUAUGAUUUAGUACUUAAUGUGAAUUAUGACUUAAUGUGACUUAUUUAAAAAAUUGGGAGUUUAAAAUACCAGUUUGGAUAAUUUUUGAAUUAUUGAUGAUUUAGGGGUUAUUAAAAAUAUAAUAAUAAUAAUAAAAGUGUAUGGAUAAUUUAUUACUUAUUGGAAAUUUUAUCGUAAAAAAAAUUCGAAAAAAUUAAGUCAUUGAAAAAGUAUUUCAAACUAAUUUCUGGUUUUAAAUCUGAUUCUGACUUAUUUCCGGCUUUAAGCAGACUCCUGACUUAUUAUACAAACAGACAUAUUUCAGCUUAAAAUUGUAACUCACUUAAAGCCUGGACUUUAAGCCGAGGCAAACAGGCUCGUACUCGGAGGAGGGAGGAGAGCACAAUCAUUGGUUUUAGAAUUUAUUUCUUUCUGCAAGGAGAUGUAAAAUAGGUUUGUUAUAUCUGUAAAAUUUACAAGCUAAUUUAUGCUUUUACCGAAAACUACUCUAUCUAAUGGAAGCAAAGAGAAAGAGAGAUCUUACCCCAGUACUUCAAGAGAUUUAAUACUGAUAGAUUUAGUUUCUCUCCUCUUUCUCUUUCUAGAAUGGGAGAGCAGUCCUUGUGUAUAUAUAUCUGUCUCUCUGUUAUGUGUUUGGAUGGUUCUUUUUAUAUCUUCUUUUUGCUGAGUCAUUCCUUUUUUCCUUCUUUUAUUGCCACUUCAACAGCUCUAGUGUAAUAGAGUAGGUGAUUAAUCAGUUUUGUGUCACAAGCAUACAGGUGAGUCAAAAGGGGUAGGGAUAGGUGUUCUUACGGAUGUGAGACACAUGUGUCUCUGUUGGAGGCUAAGCAGGCAUGGUAGGGAUCGCAGGGUAGGCUAUAUUCCAAGGGGAGAUGGCCUCAGACCCUACGGUCUUAGGUGUCUUACGGUCCUGAUGUCUUGGGGCCUGUUUGGGACGGCGCUUGGAUGAGACCUAUGGUCUCUCAGUAUUGGCUGAUUCUCGGUCCAUCAUAUGUCCCCCCGUAGUAAAGGAGCCUUCUGAGGCUUACAUUAGGUCUAGUGAAAAGUGUACAGGCGUUUUUCUGUGGGGGUUUUCUUGCAUUUUAUUUGGUCCAUUCACUUUCGUUUUAACAGAUAUUCUCGUCUAAUUAGUGUUUAAGAACGUUUUAAGAGGUAAUCUUUCCUUUUAUUAUAAUUUUUUGUGGAAUUUCAUGUCGGUUGGACUGUUUUGUUUAAGUAAGAUGUGAACAUGGAUGUUGUAAUGGAUGAUAUUAGGGUUGUAUGAAAUUUAACUGUUUUCUUAUUGUGUUUCUUAAUUUGUGGGUAUUGGUAUUCAUAUGGUUAGCCUUGGUUUGGGAGAGCAAAAAAGCUUCAAUUUUAAGUGUCAUUGUGGCGAGAUUUGAUGUUUAUGUUUUUGAUUUGACGUUUGUUGUUGCAGAAAGUUAGCCAGAAAGUAUAGCACGAGAAUAACUUUUCAAAGGAUUGUAGAUGUGUAAUAAAUUUUAUCUAAAUAGUCCUGUUUUUUUUCUAGACAAUGAAGAAGUGUAACAUUUCUUGUAUUAGGUACAGGCAUAUUGGUAUUGGUGAACAGUGGUAGCCUUUGUGCUGAGUAACGAAGUUGGUUGUGGGGCUGCGUUUGUCUCGCGCCUCCCUGGUUCAUGCUAGUAGCAUCGAUAAUGUUGCUUGUCCAGAUGUAUGGGGAUUUGAGAGCUUUCUAGGACUCCUAAUAGAAGACUCCUAGGGUCGGAAGCUGAUGGAUCAUGUAUAUUUAGGGAAAUAUGGAGUAGAACGUUGUAAAACUAUUGGAAUUUUGUGCGUGAGUUGUAGGUUUUUUUAAAAACUUUGUGAAUUGCGAAGGGUGGGCGAGGUUGCCUCAUGUAUGUGUCUUUUUCAUGUUUUUAUGAAUUCGAUGGAAGGCAGGUUAAUAAGCAUGUGUUCUUAUUCUGGUGAACUUUAUGAUUUUGUAAAAAUUGUGAAUGUGGUUCUAUGACUUGUUUAUGGGCGCUUUGAUGUUUUCAUGUGAGUAGGUGUGCCGCGAACGAAGGAGAAGUAAGCUUUUAGGUUACUAUGGAAGUUAGGGCAACAUGUAGUGAGAGGUACAUGGUUUGUUACGGGGCCGUAUAUACUGUAGGGUUGUAUAUGUCGGCUUUUUGGCAGAGACGUGGGGCUGUAGCGUUGUACGGCUACCUAUGUUGGCCUUUUGGCAAUGGAGUCAUAGCAAGGGUGUGGCUAUGUAUGCUGGCUUUUUGCUGUUGGACUAUAGCGAUUGUAGGGAUAUGUAUGAUGGCCAUGUGGCAGAGGUGCCAUAGCGAACGAAUGGGCCAUUCAUGCAUAAGGUGGCUUUUCGUCGUAGGGAUGUAGCUAUCACAGGGCUACUUAUGUUGGCCAUUUGGCGUGGCUGUUUGGUGAAACCCAUGAGGUUGUGUGGGUUGUAGUGAACCUUAGGGCCGUAGAAAAAAUGGGCUACGUAUGUUGGCCAUUUGGUCAAACUCGUAGGAUUGUGUGGGUCGCAGUGGACCUUAUGGCUAUAGCGAAAAUGGAGUGGCAUAUAUGGCCGAGUCGCUCAAUGCGACAGAAAACGUAGAUUAAGUGAUGGAUAUUUUACAAGUAGAGGUGUUAGGUAUAUAGAAAGUUGCUAAUCACCUAAUACAUACUUCGGGGGCAUGGAGGUGCCUUCAUUGAUAGAAGCGGCCAAGGUUGGAGAUAUGUCAAGUGUCGGGGACGGGGUCUGUUCGAAAUUUUUGUGUGUUCCUUCCAUGUGAUGGGUAUGAUAUUAUGUUUUUGGAUCGUAAAUGCACAAUGGUGUUCCCUUUGUUGUUAUUUAGGCAGCCUAUCAUCGUGAUUCAGGCUGUUUGGUAUGGAUUUUAUGUUUUUCAUGCUCAUAAAUUUUUUAUUUUACAUGCUUGUGUGAAGCAUGAUGGGGUGCCUACCGCAGGGGGAUGGUCUUUAGGCCAUCCUGUGAGGAGCCCGUUUAUGUGAGACUAAAGAUUUCUUGGCUGUCGGAGUAGUUAAGAGACUUUGUGAUAGUGGUAUUAGUUGCGGCGAUAUAUCGUAGCGUUCGUUGCGCUAUUUGUAAGGGUCAGUAGGCAUAACGAGCGAAUGUGUGAUGUAUGUAGGCUCUUUGUUGUUGGGCCGUAGCGAUUGUAGGGCUACGUAUGAUGGCCUUGUGGCAGGGGAGCCAUAGCGAAUGAGUGGGCCAUGUAUGUAGUCUGUCUGCUGUUGGGCUGUAGCGAUUGUAGGGCUACGCGUGAUGGCCUUGUGGCAGAGUAGCCAUAGCAAGCGAAUGUGCGAUGUAUGUAGGCUCUCUGCUGUUGGGCCGUAGCGAUUGUAGGGCUACGUAUGAUGGCCUUGUGGUAGAGUAGCCAUAGCGAGCAUGUAGAGUUGUAGCUAUUGUAGGACCGUAGCUGUUGUAGGGCUACAUACGUAGGCCUUUUGGCGAAUGAGCCUUAUGUGUAAGGGGGCUCCUCGCUGUUGGGCCGUAGCUAUUGUAGGGCUACUUAUGUUGGCCUCUUGGCGAAUGAGCCUUAUGUGUAAGGGGGCUCCCCGCUGUUGGGCCAUAGCUAUUGUAGGGCUACUUAUGUUGGCCUCACGCAUAAGGUGGCUCUUAGAUGUAGAGUUGUAGCUAUUGUAGGGCCGUAGCUAUUGUAGUGCUACUUAUGUUGGCCAUUUGGCGAAUAAGCCCUGAGUUGUAAGGGGGCUCUUCGCAGUUGGGCCGUAGCUAUUGUCGGGCUACUUAUGUUGGCCAUUUGGCGAAUAUGCCCUGAGUUGUAAGGGGGCUCUUCGCAGUUGGGCCGUAGCUAUUGUGGGGCUACUUAUGUUGGCCAUUUGGCAAAUAAGCCCUGAGUUGUAAGGGGGCUCUUCGCAGUUGGGCCGUAGCUAUUGUGGGGCUACUUAUGUUGGCCAUUUGGCAAAUAAGCCCUGAGUUGUAAGGGGGCUCUUCGCAGUUGGGCCGUAGCUAUUGUGGGGCUACUUAUGUUGGCCAUAGCCCUGAGUUGUAAGAGGGCUCUUCGCAGUUGGGCCGUAGCUAUUGUAGAGCUACUUAUGUUGGCCAUUGGGCGAAUAAGCCCUGAGUUGUAAGGGGGCUCUUCGCAGUUAGGCCGUAGCUAUUGUAGGGCUACGUAUGAUGUCCUUGUUUUAUUCUGUGUUAGAUAACGCUUAAGGAAAAGGGGAGAUAUAUGAGGUGGUAGAAAAAAUUUACAUACAGAUGUGUUAUUUGUAUACUAACUGAAAGUCGCUGUAUACCUGUAUGCAAUCAACCUUGAGAUCGUGAGCUAGGCGGAGGACGGCUAGAAGGGUUUCGUAUUCAGAGCAAUUGUUAGCGGUGGGGAAGUCGAAUCUAUUGGAUUGCUGAAUUUGAAAGCACUCUUCAGUGGUCGGAGGACCUGGACCUUGCUCUUCGUCCAUGUCGGGGACUGUUGUUGCCAAAUGGGCAAUGGUGGGAGUUUGCUGAGACUCGAGACCUAGAGGAAGAACGGUUUGGCCUAUGAAGGUCGUUAUCUGGGCAGCCAAAUUAUCCACCUACUCUUGUAGAUGUCGUUGUUGAGCUUUAUAUUGGUCGAAGCGAUCGAAAUUCGGGGAGUGAGAUGGUGAGGGAGUGAUGCUAUACGGGUGGCCGUGAGAAGACUGAGAUGGUGAAGGUGCUAUACGGGAAUGAUGCUAUACAGGUGAUUGAUUUUUCGCUCACCUUUCGUCGUUUAGGGUUUUCUUCCUGGUCGUAGUGGUAUGGCGGUGAAAAUCACGGGUUUCUCUUUCUUUCCGAUCCCCGGCGGCGGCGCCAAUUGAUAGAUUUAGUUUCUCUCCUCUUUCUCUUUCUAGAAUGGGAGAGCAGUCCUUGUGUAUAUGUAUCCGUCUCUCUGUUAUGUGUUUGGAUGGUUCUUUUUAUAUCUUCUUUUUGCUGAGUCACUCCUUUUUUCCUUCUUUUACUGCCACUUCAACAGCUCUAGUGUAAUAGAGUAGGUGAUUAAUCAGUUUUGUGUCACAAGCAUACAGGUGAGUCAAAAGGGGUAGGGACAGGUGUUCUUACGGAUGUGAGAAACGUGUGUCUCUGUUGGAGGCUAAGCAGGCAUGGUAGGGAUCACAGGGUAGGCUGGGUUCUAAAGGGAGAUGGCCUCAGACCCUACGGUCUUAGGUGUCUUACGGUCCUGAUGUCUUGGGGCCUGUUUGGGACGACGCUUGGAUGAGACCUACGGUCUCUCGAUAUUGGCUGAUUCUCGGUCCAUCAAAUACCAAAUCUAUUUUUUUAAAUGCCCGGUUUACGAUCUUGUACGUGAUCGUGAUCGUUUGAUAAGAAAUGAAAAAGGGAUAAUAUGCCGCGUGUUAAGUAAAAAGAGGAUUAAUAGAAUCUUAUUGAUUAUGUAAGAAUGUUACAGUAAGAUUUCUUCUUCUUACUCCACACGGGAGGUAAUAUUUUUGGUACCAAAGUAGGAUCCCUUUCUUGAGGUCACCAUCUUGCUAUUUAUAGGCUUUCUACGACCAGUAAUGCAUGUGCCAAUCAUGUGCUUUAUAAGAUUAUAGUUAUGGACUUCUUUGACAUUGGGUUUCUGGCUAUGGGCCAACACCGCGGAAAUAAGGUCACUACAUAUGUGUAUAUCACAAUCCAGACGAAGACAAUCCAUUUUUAACUCCAGAUUAAUAUAUGUUCUUCUCUAUUUCAAAACGUUCGGGGGUCGCUUGGAGGGCUAUCUUGAAUUAGGUAUGGGUUUCGUUCAUUCCAAACCCCAUAAAGAAACAAAUUUUCAAACCCACAGUAUGGAUUUUGAUACCCAAAAGAUGAGGUGGGUAUGAAAUGGGGUAUGAGUAUCAGUUUUAUAUUAUCAGUUUUAUAUUUUAUUUUUGUCUAUAUUUAAGCAAUUAAAUAUUAAUAUUUAAUAUUUAAUAUAAAAAUAAUCAAUAAAGCAAAAAUAUAUAACAAUAAUAAUUUUUAUUAAUAUUUUAAUUAAUAUAAAUAACUAAUAUAAUUAUUUUUAAAAAAUUAGAUAUAUUGAUUUCAGCGAUCGACCAGACACAUGAUAUAUGAUACCUUAAACCCAUACCACCUUAAUCCGAUUACAGUUCCAAACUAAUAUCACUUGGCAAACGACCCCCCGAAGGACUUGCAAAAUUCAAGCAACCUCAAUGGAAAAUUACAAGACUUACUCAAUCACACAACUUCAACUCCAUGCUCGAAGUUUUAGAUAGAAAUACUAUUAGGAACUCCUUUUGCUGUAACUCCAGGUUCUGAAUAAGGUUUCAAAAGCUCAUAUGGCACUACACCAGCUCCAGUUCUGUUCCUCAACUUUUUAUCAUUAUUUCGGGCAUCAACAAUUCCUUCAAGCUCCUUCAACUUUCCAGCAAACACUUCAAAUGCUGAUUUGAUGGCAGGGUCCUCUGCCCAUGAAGGCUCUGGCGCUUCACCAAUGUACUCCUCGUCAAUUGAAUGAUUUGACAGAACAUCCAGAAUGGCCAUAAUUUUGGAAGCUUGAAGUUGUGUUGGAAAGCAUGACAAAAGUGCAUCUUCAGGCCUUCUUUCAAAUGUUUUCCAUUCUUCAUCAGUUGGAUCUUCGGAUGGCAUUUUGACUCUAGCUAUUGUUGGUCUAUUAGGCAUAUAAGCUGCAAAGUCAUACUGUCCAAAGUUGACAGCUGCAUGGUGACCAGAUGUUACCCAUAUAAUGGUUGUGAUGAUUUGUACUAAAUCUUUUGGGGUUUUGAGAUUCGGCCACCAGGGUUCAUCUUUUUUGUCACCAUGUCCAACUGUUCGGAUUUCUUCCCACCAUGCUUGGAGUUCUUCAUCAGAUUCAAUCUGGCCUGGUUUAGGAUAGUAAUGGUUUACAUAAUCUGUAACCCAUUGUUUAAUGGUGUCCCAUAGGAUUAGACCAUCAUUUGCAUAGGGGUAAUCUUCUAUUGUCAACUUUAGACCAUGUGGAGCUCUUGGAUCUUUCUCUGCCAUUCCCCUGCAAAAGUUUAAUAAAAUUUUGAUUGUGUUAGGUUCUUAACACUAAAAAGAGGUGGCGAUUAAAAUUUAGGCUGGCGUGAGGUUGCAGAUUGAAAUAUAGGCUGUUCUGUGGCCACAUAUGUUUAACAUACCUUCACUUGCUCAUUACAUUCCUCUAAUUAAACUCCAAACCCAUUCCUUCCAAUUUAAUUGAAAGGUCAUUCUUUCACAAACUUUCACAUCAUUUUUAUUUACACACUAUCUUUUUUGUCAUUACUGCAAGUCUUAUAUUUAUCUCUUCUAUGUUCAAUUACCGUGUUCAUAGUUUUCAGGACAUUCAUAUCCCUGAUCCAUUCCAACUAAGCAAGCUUAAAAAAAUACAAAAAAGUUUUUUAAACUUUCUUUGUUUGAGCUCGACACUAUCACAAAUGCAAUUCACCAGAAUAAGUGCACCCCAAGUUCCUUCUUGAUUGUGAAAUAGUAAAGCUCAACAGCAAAAUGCACAGAGUUUAGUUUUUAAGGUCUUUAGGCCAGUAAAGCACAGUUAAGAGUCUGUUUAAGCGUCAGUGGAAAAUGAUUUGGUAUAUAAUGACUGGUUAGUAGAGUUACUUCCUUGGUAAGCAAAUCAGGUUGUUAGUAAGUAAUUACCUGCUAAUGAGGUCUUCUGGCAGUGCCUGGUGAUCAAAACGCCAAAGCUUGUCGUACGCAACAGAGCUAAAUUCGAUAGAGUACUUUCUAGGUGCAAAGGAUGACUCAAUAAUUCCAUCCGCGUUAAUGAGAGCUUGUCGCGCCAAGGCGUUGAUUUCCAUUGUGUAUCGGAAAUAAGGAUGUAAUAGUCUGUAAAUUGGGUGCGCCUCACUG
This 17376-nucleotide long non-coding RNA is filed under the name Daucus carota (carrot). RNAcentral's name for it is "long non-coding RNA (DCAR_LNC004878)". The record is from RNAcentral. Lineage: Eukaryota; Viridiplantae; Streptophyta; Magnoliopsida; Apiales; Apiaceae.